UACGUAGGUGGCAAGCGUUGUCCGGAUUUACUGGGCGUAAAGGGCGCGUAGGCGGCCAGCACAAGUCAGUUGUGAAAUCUCCGAGCUUAACUCGGAACGGUCAACUGAUACUGUGCGGCUAGAGUGCAGAAGGGGCAACUGGAAUUCUUGGUGUAGCGGUGAAAUGCGUAGAUAUCAAGAGGAACACCUGCGGCGAAGGCGGGUUGCUGGGCUGACACUGACGCUGAGGCGCGAAAGCUAGGGGAGCGAACGGG
This 254-nucleotide ribosomal RNA is filed under the name uncultured bacterium. Its description in RNAcentral is "partial 16S ribosomal RNA". It matches the Rfam family "Bacterial small subunit ribosomal RNA", at positions 524 to 776 of the family's 1533-position model. The record is from RNAcentral.